AAGAGUAAGGGUCUCCGGCCCGAACCUCCAACCCUCUGUCGUUAUAACUACUUCGUUGCUUUGGCGGGACCGCGACGGUCCUCCCGAGCGCGCCGGUCUCCGGACAGGCGAGCGCCCGCCAGAGUCAAACCAAACUCUUGUUUUAAACCAGUCAGUCUGAGUAUAAAAUUUUAAUUAAAUUA
RNAcentral lists this unclassified non-coding RNA (182 nucleotides) under uncultured Dothideales. Its description in RNAcentral is "sequence contains ITS1". Lineage: Eukaryota; Fungi; Ascomycota; Dothideomycetes; Dothideales. The record is from RNAcentral.